GUGCAGUGAGUUUUACUUCGACCAGAUGAUAGAGUUCAUCUUCAUAGCAGGAUUCAGGAGUGAUGUUUGAUUUGUACCACAUGGUACAGAAGGCAUAUCCUGCUCCGUCAUGAAGGAGUGCUUGUCCAUCAUGAAAGGAUAGGUUGGGAUGCAUUUCCUUCUUGAUGGUGCCAGUGAGAAGAAAAACAUGUUUUGUCCAUGAUGAAUCCGUAGUAUACACCCCCCUCAGGGAGUGGCAGAAGAGUGGACGGAUUGAGAACUUGACAUCUUUGGAGGGUAAUGUUGUCAGGCAACAAAAGAUGACAUUGAAGGCGAAGAUGCCUAGCAGGAGUAACAUGCUUAAGUUGGACCUGGUUGACUAUGGC
Molecule: non-coding RNA, 365 nt
Organism: Pelobates cultripes (western spadefoot toad)
Lineage: Eukaryota; Metazoa; Chordata; Amphibia; Anura; Pelobatidae
Source: the annotation of a GenBank genome assembly